UUUACCAAUUUUCUAAAUAUUUUAGAAAUAAUAUCUGAAAUAUUUCUGGUUGAUCAAAAUACUUUUAUUAAUUUUUAAAAAUUUCUUCAAAUAUCCUCAAACCGAUAGGAUUUAUUAAUGAAAUUUGAAAUUUAAAAGAAUAUUUUGAUAAUUUCAUAAUAAAUUUAAAAUUUUGGAAUAGUGGUCGAUGGGUAAAUAAG
RNAcentral lists this long non-coding RNA (200 nucleotides) under Ananas comosus (pineapple). RNAcentral describes it as "long non-coding RNA (ACOM_LNC031094)". The record is from RNAcentral. Lineage: Eukaryota; Viridiplantae; Streptophyta; Magnoliopsida; Poales; Bromeliaceae.